Pogoniulus pusillus (Red-fronted tinkerbird) is the source of this 937-nucleotide long non-coding RNA. RefSeq lists it as uncharacterized. The transcript has 4 exons. The record is from RefSeq and is a predicted model, not a curated record. NCBI's taxonomy places the organism in Eukaryota, Metazoa, Chordata, Aves, Piciformes, Lybiidae.
GAGAGCAAUGUCAUGUAUUCAAGGUGUUGGAUGUGGUGUGGCUUCCAAUCUGCCCAGCUAAUCCCAGUGCUCUGAGGAAGAGGCUGGGCAAGAAACUGAGAGAGGGGGAUUGGCAUUUGGGGAUCUACUGGGACAAGAAUUGCUGUGGGAAAUUUAGGGGAGGAGGGUGAAAACGGUUGGAUAUCAGGGUCUAAAGCAAACUGCUCCACAGCAGGUUUGAAGCACCUGAGAGGAAGGAAUUGCAAGCCCAGGUUUUGCUGCCUGUCUUCAUCCAGGUUGAAGAUCUGAUUUAUUUGGGGCUUGUUUACGGAAAAGAAACAUGACUCUCAAUUGCAUUGGAAAGGAAUGUCAUUUUUCUGACAGCAGGGAAGACUUACCCAUUUGCAGAGGAAAUGAAAAUAUGUUAGAAAAAGUACAUUCAAGCAGCAAUGAAGAUAAAACACCAGAAAGCUUUAUGCCUGCCUUUAUAUGAUUAUCUGGUGUGUGCCAUUGCCACAAGUUGCUGGGAGCAGACCCACUUUUCUGCAUUCAAUUGGCCUGAGGAACCAGCAUUAGACCCGUGCUCAGACUGCGCGGAAUCCUGCCUCUGCACCUGGAAAUCCUGCUUGUGUACUCCUCGAGAGAGCCGCCAGCAGAAAUCUUCAGCAAGGUCAGAGACUCUUAUUUGCCCUGAAACCAGAGGAUUCCAGCCUAAAAGUCCACAGGCAGAGACCUUGAAGAAUUGGACACUUGCAAUAGGCUGUGACGUAGCCCGGAGGGUGAUUUCUUAUUAAUCCAAAUUGUCUGCCUGACAAAACAGCUGGAUCUACUGUCUCUUACAAAUUUCUCCAGAGCUCUGCAGACCUGCCUGAGAUACUAAGGAUUGAAUUUCAGAAGCCUUGUAAAAAGAGAUGAGAAACUUUCUUCUUCUGUUGAUUUUGUUUUGUUUUGUCAGAAA